RNAcentral lists this ribosomal RNA (433 nucleotides) under uncultured bacterium. Its description in RNAcentral is "partial 16S ribosomal RNA". It matches the Rfam family "Bacterial small subunit ribosomal RNA", at positions 29 to 507 of the family's 1533-position model. The record is from RNAcentral.
AACGAACGCUGGCGGCAUGCCUAACACAUGCAAGUCGAACGAGAACUUCGGGCAGAGUGGUGCACGGGUGCGGAACGCGGGGGAACCGGCCAUUGGGUUGGGAAUAACUCCCCGAAGGGGGUGCUCAUACCGGAUCGGUACUUAGGACCAAAGAACUAUCGACGUUGGAAGGGGCCGCGUUGGGUUAGCUGGGUGGUAGGGUAAGCGCAUACCAAGGCGACGAUCCAGAGCUGGUCUGAGAGGCUGAUCAGCCACACCGGCACUGAGACACGGCCCAGACUCCUACGCGAGGCAGCAGUGGGGAAUAUUGGACUAUGGGCGAUAGCCUGAUCCCGCAAUGCCGCGUGAGUGAUUAAGGCCUUAGGGUUGUAAAUCUCUUUUACCCGGGAUGAUAAUGACAGUACCGGGAGAAUAAGCUCCGGCUAACUCCGUG